CCAAAACAAAAAAACCCACAACACCAACAAAAUCCCACAUUUGUGGUUCAUCUUGUAAAUAAGACCCAAAUUCCCACCUAAAUUCCUACGUUUGUGUAUAAUCUCUUCAUGAAUAAGACUCUAAUACCUAUAUUUUUCUUCCCUCUUCUCAUAAAAAGACCCAAAUUCCCACGUUUUUGUGUCUUCUCUUCCUAAAUAAGACCCAAAUUCCCACAUUCGUGUGUCCUCUUUGUAAAUAAGACCCAAAUUCCCACCCAGAUUCCCACAUUUGUGUGUCUUCUUCCUAAAUAAGACCCAAACACCCACAUUUUUGUACCCUCUCCUCACAAAAAGACCCAAAUCCCCACAAUUCUGUGUCCUUUCUUCUUAAACAAGACCCAGAUUCCCAUCUAAAUAUCCACAUCUGUGUGUCCUCUCUUCAGAAGACCCAAAUUCCCUCAUUUGUGUGUCCUCUCUUCAUAAAUGACCCAAAUUCCCUCAGUUGUGUGUCCUCUCUUCAUAAACAAGACCCAAAUUCCCUCAUUUGUGUGUCCUCUCUUCAUAAAUAAGACCCAAAUUCCCACAUUUGUGUGUCCUCUCUUCAUAAAUAAGACCCAAAUUCCCACAUUUGUGUGUCCUCUCUUCCCAAAUUCCCACAUGCAGGAGUGGGGUUGCAUUCAGAAAUCCCCCGGAUUGUCCCAUAUUACCACGCCAGCCCAACCUCCGUCCUUUACACCAUUUCAUGGCUCUGAGGGAUGGCAGGACGUGUGUUGGGACCGUGCUGCAGCUCCACGCCUGUUUUCUUUUGUAACUAGAAGAGAGAGGAUUUAUAUCUUUUUCCCAGCCAGCUUAUCCGUGGGAAAGCUGGUCUGAUGCAACUGCAGCAGCUUUGGUGUAGUUUGGGUGAGCUGCAUUCCUGCAGCAUAGCACGGCUCGCUCAGCAGCAAUGGGCACUGCAGGAAAACCCCACCGCCUGAGAUUGGAGCCGACCGUGGUGCCUGGCAGCCCCUGCUGGCCUCUGCCACGUCUGACUUUCAUCAUUUUUGGGGGGGGGGAGAAAUCUGUCUUCAAACAUAGGCAAACAUUCUCAUUUCUGACAAGAACUAAUGCUUUGUUUGGGCUUUGUGCAGCUGCGCUGUCACACCAACGUCGGCUCUCGGAGCAGGCAGCCCGAAUGCGCUUCUAUUUAUAGGAACCUGGUAUUUUUACAUUAAACUCUCUUUUGGCACAAAUCGAAACAGCUUUCUGCAGGGAUACUGAGAAGUAUUUGUAUCCUUUGGGUGCGUCCUCACCUCUCAGCUUGCACCAGCAGAACCGGAGGAGCAAGAAUGGCUGGGAAAGAAGAUAGAUGGGAGGAAAGCAGCCAGAAGCUGCAGUUUCCAACUCCCUCCCCUUCAAGAGGUUUAAUGGAGAUGGGAGCACUGCUUACCAGUUCUGGAGGAGGAGUGGGGUUGUUUCUUUUGUCCCACCUCUGUUGUCGCCACCUAUAAAAUAAAGAGCUCAGUGACCAUUGGAGAGGGGUUUUGUGCAAGAUGAGAUGCUGCUGUUUAAGGACAAAAGCAAAGCAGUCAGAGGAUAAGGGAGCGCUUAUCUUCCGUACGCUAUACAGAAAUCUUUCUUUUCUCAACUCUUUCCUUCAUGGAAAGAAGUGAAAAUCAAAGGAAGAGGUAAAGCAAGUAGGAGAAAAAAGGAAGAGCCGAUUGGAAGAAGUACAAGGUUAUGAAGAAAAUACCCUGAAGUUACACAGCAAUUUUCAUUUCGGAAUUUCUAUGGAAAAAAAUAAAUGCCAGAAUGGGUUAAAAACAAUGAAGCUCUAUCAGCCAUUUCCAGGUAAGAAGCAGCAGUGAGAGAACUCUGUUCCCAGCUCGGGACAUGGUUGGUUGCAUUCCUCUGCAUGGAUAGAAACCAUAGAAUCUCAGAAUCACUGAGGUUGGUGAACACCUCUCAGGUCCCCACGUCCAACCUCAGCCCAUCGUGCCCAACCCACCACAUCCCUCAGUGCCACAUCCCUAUGGUGCUGGGACAACCCCAGGGACGGUGACCCCAACCCUGGGCACCCCGAGAGCCUGGGGCAGGGAUUGCCGGUGGCUGGAGCACUCCUACCUUCGGAUGUACUCGGCAAUAUCGACCCUCUUGUACAGCAGGACGCCCAAAAUCAGGGUGAGAAGCAGCAGCGUUCCAAUAGCUUUUACCGUACCUCUGUACACUUGGAAAAGGAAACAAAGAACAUCACACUCUGCGCACACAAAACGUGCUGGUUUUGCUGCCAUUCCCCAGUGCACAAAGGGUCAGGAGCUCGUGUGCGCGCCCUAGGAAACCUCCCUGAUAACCUCAGUGGGAGCUACCAGUGUUCUUUUCUCUCUCAGAAGCAAGCAGAAGCCGUGAGGUGUUCAUCAAAGAGGGUAAAGUGAUGCUAAACAGACCUGGGAACAAUGAGGACCGCAUUGUAAGGAGGUUGGGGACAUCACACACAAGCAAGCCAGCUUCCCAGGGCGCACAGAGGAGGACACGCAGGUGAAGAAAGACCCAAACACAGCCAGAAGGGUGAGUGGUUUGAGCUGAACAUUGCUGAUGGUUGAGGCUCCAGUGUGUGGGGAGAGUGCGGAUAAAGAAAGGCGGGAGGCUGUUUGUAGGGAAGGUGUGAAAGGCUUUGCUCCUUCCAGCAUGCUGAAGAGCCAACACGGGGAUACCAGCUGCAGCCUAAGCAUCAGCCGUUCUCCGUGGAUUGAGGAGCUCAGCACGGCCCCUGGGGUCCCUUCGUCUCCAUGCAAAGUAGACCUGAAAGAGAAUGAACGUUUUACGGCAUGAAAAAUGCAGCAGCCAUUUGGUGGCCCCGGGGGGAUUGGCCUCCGGCACUUCAUCUCAGGACCAGCAGAGGAGGGCAGGACGGAAUCCACACCCCGAGGCAAAUUUGUCACUCUCCUUUGGCAGCCACCGUGGAAAUGUUUAACCUCUGUGGUGUGCAGGUGGCGGACGGGUGCCCCGGACACAGCUGUCACAAGCUGUGCGUUUGCUCUGUCGGUGACGUGAAGGCAGCAGGAGCUCCCCAUCCAUCCCUGCACCCUCUUGCAGUGACGAUGGUCCUGCAGAGAGAGGCUACAGACACAGCAGGAGGAGCUGACAGCGCACAGAGGGUGAGAGAUGGUUGCCUUUGCCUUUCUCCAGCUUAGCAGGAGUGCUUUCCGCGUGUCUCUGUCUGUUUUCAUCUCGACAUCAGAAAGCACUUUCGCAGCCUUUGCUGCUUGCCCUCCUUUUGUGGAUGCUGUAACUGUUUUCUGCCACAACGACGCAGCGUUUCACAAAUGUGUCCCAAAUGAAUUUGUCACCUUCGUGUGAUUCGAAAGGAAGAUAAAGACAGACAGAGGUGAUGGCAAAACUCUCCUUUAACAUCCACGCUGACACCCAGACAGAUCUGCUCCUGUGCAGGGAUAUCUGUCUGGAAAGAGGGGCAGGUACGGGUGGCAGCAUAAAUAAACCCCUGUGUGAGGAAAUUCUGCCAGUGUUGCUGCCUGAAACAUGGGUUUUAUGUAAGACUACAUCGAAACGUUGUACAAAAUCUGCCAUUUCGGUGGCAUUUGCAAGGAGAGCAAUGUUACAGAAUCGAGCAUGCAUUUUUCAGAUCUCUCCAACUCUGGCUGAUUUAGAUUCAGCAGCACUGACAGCUGCACUGAAGGAUGAAACGUUACAAUGUAGAAGUCACUUUUUGCAACGUUUGUGGGAACGAAGAAGAAAAAUGGCAGAGGAAGGCAAUGAACACUGAGAUAGAGGGCUGCGAGCUGUCGGAGCAGGAUCCGGGGGGAAGUCGUGUGUGGAAACCAAAAUAAUGUUUGUGCUGCUGAGCCAGGAGCCAUUCUGGACCUCUACGUUGCUUCGAAAGGCAAAUUUACAUUUCACAUACUCUACCCUUCAAAGGACAGUUAGAGGUUUUCUACCUACCCCUCUGCCAUGGCAUUUUUUCGCUGUACAAAUGCUGUUGAGAAAAGCUGCGCUGACACACGUCCUGUUGAUGCAUAUCUGCAGGAAGAGGCAGGUUGGUGUUAGGGACGAGGUACGGUGACAGCUGUUGGGAGAGGGCACUGACUGGUGAAGUAGGAUAAAAUUACAGUGUCUGUUCCUUUGUUCAGGGCUUUCCAUUCCCUCUCUCUAAAGGAGCGACAGGGGAAGGAAUAGGAGCAAAAAAAGGAAGGUCUUUGUGUUUCAAGUCUGAGACAAACCAAAGCGGAGGCUGAAGAAACCCAACCGAGCAUCACAACGCGCUACAAAAACCAGUUCUAUUUCAGGAGUCAUUCAUUUGCUGCAAAAAAACCCAGUCGUCUGGGUGAAGUUCCCCACGUGCCUGCUCUGCUCACACCCCUCCUUCAGUACCUGCCCAAGGCCAGGGAGGACGGAUGGGCUUUGGAUGGACCCCUCACAACCACCCUGAUCUUCAUAGGUCUGCGCUCAGUGAGUAACGUGGAGCAUCCUCGUACCUUCAGGAGGCACACGGAUGUCUCCUCUGGGCAGGAGGAGAUUUAUUUUCAGCUUUUGGCCUUGCAAAUGAAUUGGUUUUGCGAUGACUGUGGUGAGAGGCAUGGGACCCAUCUCUUCUGAAAGGGGAACUCUACCAAGAGCUCCUUCCCUUUGUGGAACUCAGCAUGUGUGUUUUUCUCAGAAACGUUCUCUGCCAUAUGGUAGCAAGAAAUGCUCCUUCAGUACGUCACAGCCUCGACAGGACUUUGGCAUUCUGAGUGCCUCACAGGGAAGAAACGCGUCCUAUUCUUGGAAGAACAUUUGCAGUGCUUUUGUCUGCACAGCAAACAAAGGUUGACUUUGAUUGGUUGCUUCCAAAGAAGCGGAGAAUCUUUUACUUCCCUCUUCUAAUGGAAAGACAGCCGUGUGCUGCCAGCAACAAAAGCUACGACCAUAUAGUGCUGUUUUUCAGCUGCUAAGGAGGCUUUAGCAGGAGGGGGCUGACAUCAGAGGUCACGAAUGUUUUCCUUAGGAUGAAAAUCCUUCCCUCUAAUCCCUGCUCUAUUCUAGCUAUCUGGGGGUACCUUGUUUGUACCACACGACGUGCCGUCCUUCACCAAGCCAUCGUCAGGCGUGUCGAAAGGCAGGUGGAACUCGAGCCCCCAGCAGAGCUGGUUGGUCAUGAAGGUCUGCACCACGGUCUCGCCGUCUUGCCGGACUGGCACUCUUUUGAUGUUAGUGCACUGCACUCUCCCACACAGGAUGUUCCUGAGAUGGACAGAGAGACAGACAGACAGACUGCAGGGACGUCAGAAGGCGCAGUGAUCCGUGCUACUGGCUGGUAUUGACACGGACCCUCCUGCCAGCUGGUGCUGGUGCCUUGGGACAGGCAGGCACAGCCCUUUGGGACCUUUCGAGAAGCUGCAGAGAUGCUUCCACUUGUUGUUUUGAGCCUUGCUUUUCAUACCUUUCUCCUAUUUUUUUAUAAAGCGUGAGAAAUAAUGAUAUUUAUGCUGGGAGGAUUUAGGUAUCGUUCUUCCGAAGCUCAUCUCUGUGGCCAAAGGUGGCAAGAGCGAAGCUCAAGUUCUGCUUGUGUAGUGCUCAGCAUGAAAAGCGGAGGUAAGCUGAAUGAUGAAUUUUCGUUCUGCUGUCUGCUCCAAUGACAGCAGUGUCCAAUUGUUGGUGAAACACCAAAGUGCAAGCGUGAAGAAAGGCAAGGUAGGCAAAGAACCAUCGAAUGGCUUGAGUUGGAAGGACCUUGAAGAUCAUCUGCUUCCAACCCCUCGCUGUGGGCAGAGGUAACACCCACUAACUGUGCAUAGGGAAAAUCCCCAAGGUAGGCAAACCUCCUUGGUCUCAAACCAUCAUCCCAAUCAAAUCCCACAGGACAGGGAUGGGAAGGAGAGUUUGGAGAGUGGUGUGCUGCAAGGCACAGCGCUGUGCAUGACAGUGUCCUCUCUAGAGGUGUCCUUCCAGAUGUGCUUUCGGGACAUACCGACUGAUGGCAGCUGCAAAUGGUGGCAGUGCUGAAAGGAAAUAGCACUAAAGGCGGAAAAAUAAAAAGGGGGGUUGGAGAACAACGUAUCAAACAGAAAAGGAAAACGCGGCCCGGCCAGUUGGCGGGAUGACCUCUUGGAGAAGGAAAGCUGGCAACCUAUUGUGCCCAAACCCCAACAACAAAUCAGGCUGAAUAUCUCUCAGAAAAAGGGUCCGAGUGCCUCUGCUACCGCACUGCUCACCCCUCCAGGCACUUGGUGUAGUGGGUGCCGUUCCAGCCGCAGUUCCCACUGCGGUCCCCUCGGAGGUUCACGUCCCUGAAGCAGCUCAGCGGGGCACGGUGGGCGGCUGCGGAGUGGGAGAAAGGAGGAGAUUGUUGUGGUGAGGCAACUGCUGAUGGUUUUUGUGGGUGUUCUAAAUGGCCCCAUGUAUUUUAUGGAUUCUUUUUUUUUUUUGUCUUGUUUUCCUCUUUUUGACUGUAAUGAAGUGGCUACGUGGAGAGAUUUGCUACAAGAGAAAAAUCGAUGGUCAGAGAAUGGACCAUGCUCAUUUGUCCGGAAUAAUCCGGUGUGGAAGAUUGGAAUAAAGACUGUAAAUCUCUCCAAAGCCUACUUCUUUUCUUUCUUUCUUUCUUUCUUUCUUUUUCUUUUUUUUCAUUAAAACAAACGUGCCAGUGCAUCUUAGAUUUACCCUGAAACCAGAAUCCCUACCGUUAUGCUCUGUAUUAACAGUAAGGAUUCUUGUCAGACGUCAGAAACAACUCCCAGAGUUGGGCUUCAGCAAGACAGAACCACUUCCAACCCAGGGAACCCCCCAGUUUUUUUCAGAACAUCCUCAUAUUCUCCAAGCGUUGCCUAUAUCAUGACAAACACUGCUGCCUUCGUGUGCAGGGGUUACAGCUCUGCAGAUUCCAAACUUCUUGUAGAUGUGGUAGAGCACGUAGGAAUGUGGUUUUAUUUGCAGAUUCGUGCUCAUAAUGAAACCUACAGCUCGAGUCCUGGUGGUCAUUGCUGCCGUCAGUGAGGAGGAAGUGCAGAGUACAUCUGCUGUGCCAUGGCCUUGGGACGGCACUUGGGGAAGUUGGGUACUUCCUGCAGAACUGAGAUAGCCUCAAAGAGGCUGUGGGCAGGCAUUACGCUUCAAGUUAAAACUUGGAGGAAAUGUAGAUGCACAAAUGCAGAGUGCUGCUGUUUUCAACUGCAUAAGAGGGGUUUCGGUGACUGUUUUCAUCGUGCAUUUAUUUCUGGUUCUUCUCUAGUGAGAAGUGCCAUUCCCUUGUCCCACUGAGUGUGAGAUGGACCUGAACAGCACUGCAACAGCUAACGCCUGAGGAAACCACAUUUCUGCUGCCCUAACUAUUGUGCUCAGCCCCAGGGCGCUCAGCCUGUCCCCACCAGGAGCUGCUCCACCAUCUCUGCACCCUCACUGGGCUCUCCCCAGCAGUUCCCUUUCUGCCUGGAGCUGGGGAGCCCAGCACUGGGUGCAGUGCUUCAGAUGUGGCCCCCCCAGGGCAGAGCAGAGGGAAAGAGCACCUCCCUGCCCUGCUGCCCACGCUCUGUGCACCUCAGGUGGCCUUCUUGGCCCCCAUGGCACACACUGAUAGUCUGUGCUCAACCUAUGGUCAGCUGUUGACCAACGAGGACACCAUUGGCCUUCUUGGCCACCAGGGAACACUGCUGCCUCAUGGCCAACCACUGAGCAACCACUGAUCGACCCUUGGUCCAAAAUAUUGCUCAGCUGUUGGUC
This is a non-coding RNA of Meleagris gallopavo (turkey), 7671 nucleotides long. Lineage: Eukaryota; Metazoa; Chordata; Aves; Galliformes; Phasianidae. The record is from RefSeq and is a predicted model, not a curated record.